GAAUGCAUAAAUAUAUGAAGGAACACCAGUGGCGAAGGCGGCUACCUGAAMUGAUAUUGACGCUUAAGUACGAAAGCGUGGGGAGCAAAUAGGAUUAGAUACCCUAGUAGUCCACGCCGUAAACGAUCUAGWCUAGUUGUUGUUAUAAAACAGUGACGCAGCUAACGCAUUAAGUCUAGCGCCUGGGUAGUAUGCACRCAAGUGUGAAACUCAAAGGAAUUGACGGGGACCCGCACAAGUGGUGGAGCAUGUGGUUUAAUUYGACGAUACGCGAAGAACCUUACCUACGCUUGACAUACUUGGCAAAGCCAUAGAGAUAUGGUAGAGGCAAACCAAUGYACAGGUGGUGCAUGGUUGUCGUCAGCUCGUGUCGUGAGAUGUUCGGUUAAGUCCGGUAACGAGCGCAACCCCUUUCUUAUGUUACUAACAUUUAGUUGAGGACUCAUGAGAUACUGCCUGGGCAACCAGGAGGAAGGUGGGGAUGACGUCAAAUCAUCAUGCCCCUUAUGYGUAGGGCUACACACGUGCUACAAUGGCUAUUACAAAGAGUUGCGAUGUCGCGAGGCGGAGCUAAUCUCAAAAAAAUAGUCUCA
Molecule: ribosomal RNA, 593 nt
Filed under: uncultured Mycoplasmataceae bacterium
Lineage: Bacteria; Bacillati; Mycoplasmatota; Mollicutes; Mycoplasmatales; Mycoplasmataceae
Description: bacterial SSU rRNA
Rfam family: Bacterial small subunit ribosomal RNA
Source: RNAcentral